CCUACGGGAGGCAGCAGUGGGGAAUAUUGCACAAUGGGGGAAACCCUGAUGCAGCGACGCCGCGUGAGUGAAGAAGUAUUUCGGUACGUAAAGCUCUAUCAGCAGGGAAGAAAAUGACGGUACCUGACUAAGAAGCCCCGGCUAACUACGUGCCAGCAGCCGCGGUAAUACGUAGGGGGCCAGCGUUAUCCGGAUUUACUGGGUGUAAAGGGAGCGUAGACGGCAGCGCAAGUCUGGAGUGAAAUCCCAUGGCUUAACCAUGGAACUGCUUUGGAAACUGUGCAGCUAGAGUGCAGGAGAGGUAAGCGGAAUUCCUAGUGUAGCGGUGAAAUGCGUAGAUAUUAGGAGGAACACCAGUGGCGAAGGCGGCUUACUGGACUGUAACUGACGUUGAGGCUCGAAAGCGUGGGGAGCAAACAGGAUUAGAUACCCGGGUAGUC
This 440-nucleotide ribosomal RNA is filed under the name uncultured bacterium. RNAcentral's name for it is "partial 16S ribosomal RNA". It matches the Rfam family "Bacterial small subunit ribosomal RNA", at positions 338 to 795 of the family's 1533-position model. The record is from RNAcentral.